AGUGCACGCUGGCGGCGUGCUUAACACAUGCAAGUCGAACGGACUUCUUGAGGGCUUGCUCUUAAGAAGUUAGUGGCGCACGGGUGAGUAAUAUAUAGCUAAUCUGCCCCUUGGAGGGGGACAACAGUUGGAAACGACUGCUAAUACCCCAUACUCCGUUAAUCCAUAAGUGUUAAAGGGAAAUGUCUUUUCGCCAAGGGAUGAGGCUUUAUCGUAUCAGUUUGUUGGUGAGGUAACGGCUCACCAAGACUAUGACGCGUAGCUGGUCUGAGAGGAUGAUCAGCCACACUGGAACUGAGACACGGUCCAGACUCCUACGGGAGGCAGCAGUGGGGAAUAUUGCACAAUGGGGGAAACCCUGAUGCAGCAACGCCGCGUGGAGGAUGACGCAUUUCGGUGUGUAAACUCCUUUUAUUUGGGAAGAUAAUGACGGUACCAAAUGAAUAAGCACCGGCUAACUCCGUGCCAGCCGCCGCGGUAA
Molecule: ribosomal RNA, 481 nt
Filed under: uncultured bacterium
Lineage: Bacteria
Description: partial 16S ribosomal RNA
Rfam family: Bacterial small subunit ribosomal RNA
Source: RNAcentral